AUGCACGAGAACCACCCCAGGACGCUCGCCUGCAACGUCGACGCGCUCGCCGAGUUCGGCUACCUCAAGGACUUCCCCGAGCUGCUCUUCCGCCUCAUCCACGGCGCCGACGUGCGCAAGGUUGCCAAGGCCGGAGUGGAGGACGACAAGGUGCGCAGGAAGGCCAAGGCCCUGGCCCAGCAGCGGGAGGGCCUCCGCGCCAGGCUUGCCGGCCGGAAGCGCGCCCGCGAGCUGGCGCCCGAGCCGGCCAAGGCCACCUUCGGCGACUUCCUCUCGGCCGCCCUCUCCAAGUUCGGCAAGGGCAAGCCCGUGGAGGUGGAGACCGCCCCUGUCGCGGUCGAGGAGCCAAAGCCGGAGGCGAUGGAGGUUGAUCCGGAGAAGACGGCGAUCAAGCCGCGGCGGAUGUCCAAGAAAGUCCGCAAGGUGGCCAAGCUCGCCGUGCAGUCGCUGGAGACGUACUACGGCGACCGCGCCUACCGAUUCCUGUUUGACGCCGUCGCCGAGUUCUUCGCCGCGCUCCUUGCCUCGGACCUUGAGCAGCUGGCCCCAAAAGGCAAGAAGAGGAAGAUCGGGCUCGCCGCCAAGUGGUGCCCCACGCCGGGCUCGUCGUUUGACCGCACCACACUGCUCUGCGAGGCCAUCGCCCGCCGCCUCUUCCCGCGCGACUCGGACCCUGAGCUCGCCCAGCUCUCGGAUGACCACUACACGUACCAGGCCCUCCGCAGCCUCCGCCGCGAGGUGCUCGUGCCGCUGCGCAAGGUCCUGGAGCUCCCUGAGGUGUACAUGAGAGCGCAGCGGUGGCCGGAGCUGCCCUACAACCGCGUGGCCUCGAUGGCCAUGCGGCGCUACAAGUUCCUUUUCAAGAAGCACGACGAGGCACGCUUCGACAAGUACCUCGAGGACGUGGAGGACGGCAAGGCCAAGAUCUUGGCGGGUGCGCUCCUGCCGCAGGAGAUCGCCGCGGCCGCCUACCGCGGCGAGGACGACAACGUGUCAGAGCUCCAGUGGCGCCGCAUGGUGGACGACCUCCGCUCCAAGGGAUCGCUGCGCAACUGCAUCUCGGUCUAUGACGUGUCCGGGAGCAUGAACGGCACCCCGAUGGAGGUGUGCGUUGCGCUGGGCGUGCUCACGUCGGAGCUCAGCGAGGAGCCAUGGGCGGGCAAGGUGAUCACCUUCAGCUCGACCCCCGAGAUCCACCUGAUCAAGGGCAAGACCCUUGCCAAGAAGAUGGCCUUCGUUAAGCGCAUGCAAUGGAACAUGAGCACCAACUUCCAGGCGGUGUUCGACCAGAUCCUUCGCACGGCCGUGAACGCCCGGCUGGCGCCGGAGAAGAUGAUCAGGACCGUGUUCGUGUACAGCGACAUGGAGUUCAAUGAGGCGUCGGGGCACAGCGGGGGUGGAUACUACGGAUACGGAUCGCGACGAUCGUCCGGGUCCUGGGACACUGACUACAACGUGAUCUGCAAGAAGUUCAGGGACGCGGGGUACGGCGAUGUGGUGCGGCAGAUCAUCUUCUGGAACCUGCGCGACUCCAAGUCGACGCCGGUGACGUCGACGCAGCCGGGGGUGGCCAUGGUGAGCGGCUUCUCCAAGAACUUCCUCAAGAUCUUCCUGCAGAACGACGGCGUGGUGAACCCCGAGGCCAUCAUGAUGCAGGCCAUCGCGGGCGACGAGUACCAGAAGCUGACCGUGUACGACUAG
This 1701-nucleotide ribosomal RNA is filed under the name Triticum aestivum (bread wheat). RNAcentral describes it as "partial small subunit ribosomal RNA". Lineage: Eukaryota; Viridiplantae; Streptophyta; Magnoliopsida; Poales; Poaceae. The record is from RNAcentral.